RNAcentral lists this ribosomal RNA (406 nucleotides) under uncultured bacterium. RNAcentral's name for it is "partial 16S ribosomal RNA". It matches the Rfam family "Bacterial small subunit ribosomal RNA", at positions 29 to 526 of the family's 1533-position model. The record is from RNAcentral.
AUUGAACGCUGGCGGCAGGCCUAACACAUGCAAGUCGAACGAGUGGCGGACGGGUGAGUAAUGUCUGGGAAACUGCCUGAUGGAGGGGGAUAACUACUGGAAACGGUAGCUAAUACCGCAUACCCUCAGAUGUGCCCAGAUGGGAUUAGCUAGUUGGUGGGGUAACGGCUCACCAGGGCGAAGAUCCCUAGCUGGUCUGAGAGGAUGACCAGCCACACUGGAACUGAGACACGGUCCGGAAUCCGAGGGGAGGCAGCAGUGGGGAAUAGUGCACAAUGGGGGCAAGCCUGAUGCAGCCAGGCCGCGUGUAUGAAGAGGGCGUUCGGGUUGUAAGGUAAUUUCAGCGGGGAGGCGUUACCCGAAGAAGAAGCACCGGCUAACUCCGUGCCAGCAGCCGCGGUAAUUC